This 907-nucleotide ribosomal RNA is filed under the name uncultured bacterium. RNAcentral describes it as "bacterial SSU rRNA". It matches the Rfam family "Bacterial small subunit ribosomal RNA", at positions 33 to 937 of the family's 1533-position model. The record is from RNAcentral.
ACGCUGGCGGCGUGCUUAACACAUGCAAGUCGAACGCUGAAGCCUAGCUUGCUGGGUGGAUGAGUGGCGAACGGGUGAGUAACACGUGAGUAACCUGCCCCCUUCUUUGGGAUAACGCCCGGAAACGGGUGCUAAUACUGGAUAUUCACUGAUCUUCGCAUGGGGGUUGGUGGAAAGGUUUUUUCUGGUGGGGGAUGGGCUCGCGGCCUAUCAGCUUGUUGGUGGGGUGAUGGCCUACCAAGGCUUUGACGGGUAGCCGGCCUGAGAGGGUGACCGGUCACAUUGGGACUGAGAUACGGCCCAGACUCCUACGGGAGGCAGCAGUGGGGAAUAUUGCACAAUGGGCGAAAGCCUGAUGCAGCGACGCCGCGUGAGGGAUGGAGGCCUUCGGGUUGUAAACCUCUUUCGCUCAUGGUCAAGCCGCAACACUGGUUGUGGUGAGGGUAGUGGGUAAAGAAGCGCCGGCUAACUACGUGCCAGCAGCCGCGGUAAUACGUAGGGCGCGAGCGUUGUCCGGAAUUAUUGGGCGUAAAGGGCUUGUAGGCGGUUGGUCGCGUCUGCCGUGAAAUCCUCUGGCUUAACUGGGGGCGUGCGGUGGGUACGGGCUGACUUGAGUGCGGUAGGGGAGACUGGAACUCCUGGUGUAGCGGUGGAAUGCGCAGAUAUCAGAAAGAACACCGGUGGCGAAGGCGGGUCUCUGGGCCGUUACUGACGCUGAGGAGCGAAAGCGUGGGGAGCGAACAGGAUUAGAUACCCUGGUAGUCCACGCUGUAAACGUUGGGCACUAGGUGUGGGGGCCACCCGUGGUUUCUGCGCCGUAGCUAACGCUUUAAGUGCCCCGCCUGGGGAGUACGGCCGCAAGGCUAAAACUCAAAGGAAUUGACGGGGGCCCGCACAAGCGGCGGAG